CUCAGAGCUGGCGAGACUACCCGCUGAAUU
This 30-nucleotide ribosomal RNA is filed under the name Psorodonotus venosus. RNAcentral describes it as "partial 26S ribosomal RNA". The record is from RNAcentral. Lineage: Eukaryota; Metazoa; Arthropoda; Insecta; Orthoptera; Tettigoniidae.